This 321-nucleotide unclassified non-coding RNA is filed under the name fungal sp. RNAcentral describes it as "partial internal transcribed spacer region". The stretch from base 1 to 46 matches the Rfam family "Eukaryotic small subunit ribosomal RNA", at positions 1786 to 1831 of the family's 1831-position model. The record is from RNAcentral. Lineage: Eukaryota; Fungi.
AAGUCGUAACAAGGUAACCGUAGGUGAACCUGCGGUUGGAUCAUUAAAAAGGUUAGGGUUUUAUCACCCUAAACAAACCUCUUGUGAACUAUUACUGUUAUUGGCAGCUAAUCCCUUCAGAGAAGCUUGAGUGUUCUCGUAAUCAUAUGUGUUGCAGAAUUAACCGCUCUGAUUUGUUGGGACUGUCAAAGAGCUCUGCUAUGUAUAUAGCAACUCACAAAUAAACUUGUAUUAUUUUCUUUGUUUGUUACUUGUGGUUUUUGUUUAUCAAAACAAACCAAAAAUAUAAAACAACUUUUGACAACGGAUCUCUUGGCUCUC